GGCAUGAAAAAUUUCGAGGACAAACUUUUUUUCGUGGGAGAAAAUGUAAUAGUCCAAUCUAAUUGGACCCAGCCUAAUUUCAAAUAGUAGCCCCAUAAGGGGGAGCAUGAUUUUUAAAGCAUAAGAAAAAUAUGAAGGAAUGGGAGGAAGAAGACUCUUACUCCUAUCCUAAAAAGGAUUCUAGUCGGAGCCAAAAACCCUAAGCCCCUUCUAUAAAUGAAGACUCCACUCCCUUCCAUGGCCUUCCAUUGUCGAAUCCCUCUUCCUUUCCUUAUUCUUCUUCCUUUUUCUUCCUUUCUUGUUUUUAAUUAGAGGUCAUUGUGUUGGAGAAUUCAUG
This 337-nucleotide long non-coding RNA is filed under the name Elaeis guineensis (African oil palm). RNAcentral's name for it is "long non-coding RNA (EGUI_LNC055685)". Lineage: Eukaryota; Viridiplantae; Streptophyta; Magnoliopsida; Arecales; Arecaceae. The record is from RNAcentral.